CACUAUAUAAACACUUGCAUUUCAACACGUCACAAGACCAAGUCCAGUUGAGGAAUUCAUCAAUACAUCAUCAACACAUCAGACCCCAGACUCUAGCCAGAAAUAUUCCAGCAGUUGCCAGAUCAAAUGUCUCCUAAACUUUUUAUUCUCUGCGUCAUGGCAAUGCUGGUCAAAAAAUUCUAUUCCACUGGAAAAUUGCAACAGGUGCCAGCUACAAAGGGUGACGGGGACGUGUAAUGCUGCCGUGACCAGAUACUACUACAAUGUCGAGUCACGGAGCUGUCAAGAGUUUACCUACAGCGGCUGUGAAGGGAAUGAAAAAUAAAUUCGUAACCAAGACGGAAUGCGAGAUUGCCUGCGACAUUGACCCUGCUUGCUUGUUACCCCCCGAAACCAGGCCGGUGUUCAGUACCCAUGGAACCUUUGGAAUUUUUUUAUUAUGACCCCGAGUCCGAAACCUGCAAAAAGUUUUUGUACAGCGGCUGUGGCGGAAAUGACCACAUGUUCAGCUUCCAAGGAUGCUAUGAAAAUUGCAUAAAAAGGAGUACCAGAAGAAGAAGUGUGAGCUGGAUUUAGAAAAUCUUACUUACUGAAAAAAAGUUAAAAUAAAUCAA
Molecule: long non-coding RNA, 614 nt
Organism: Physella acuta
Lineage: Eukaryota; Metazoa; Mollusca; Gastropoda; Physidae
Source: RefSeq, a predicted model, not a curated record